Molecule: non-coding RNA, 23 nt
Filed under: Arabidopsis thaliana (thale cress)
Lineage: Eukaryota; Viridiplantae; Streptophyta; Magnoliopsida; Brassicales; Brassicaceae
Source: RNAcentral
UGGAGUAUAGCCAAGUGGUAAGG